GAUGAACGCUAGCGGCGUGCCUAAUACAUGCAAGUCGAACGGAGAGGUCUUGUAGCAAUACAGGCCUCUUAGUGGCGAACGGGUGAGUAACGCGUGGGUGACCUGCCCCAAAGAGGGGGAUAACAGUCCGAAAGGACUGCUAAUACCCCAUGUGGUCAACGGGUUUAGAAGCCGUUGACCAAAGGAGCAAUCCGCUUUGGGAGGGGCCCGCGUCCCAUCAGGUAGUUGGUAGGGUAACGGCCUACCAAGCCGAUGACGGGUAGGGGGCCUGAGAGGGUGGCCCCCCACAAUGGCACUGAAACACGGGCCAUACACCUACGGGUGGCAGCAGUAGGGAAUAUUGGACAAUGGGCGAAAGCCUGAUCCAGCAACGCCGCGUGCGCGAUGAAGGCCUUCGG
This 398-nucleotide ribosomal RNA is filed under the name uncultured Chloroflexota bacterium. RNAcentral's name for it is "bacterial SSU rRNA". It matches the Rfam family "Bacterial small subunit ribosomal RNA", at positions 28 to 421 of the family's 1533-position model. The record is from RNAcentral. Lineage: Bacteria; Bacillati; Chloroflexota.